Molecule: long non-coding RNA, 477 nt
Organism: Rhodamnia argentea
Lineage: Eukaryota; Viridiplantae; Streptophyta; Magnoliopsida; Myrtales; Myrtaceae
Exons: 2
Source: RefSeq, a predicted model, not a curated record
AAGGCCAUGAGGGAACGGCCUCGUUCUCAGCUGGUGCUUGCCGUUCUUGCAACAAUCGCUGUAAUUUUUGGGGUAGCAAAAGGAGUCGAAUGAUGACCAAGUUUGAGACUGAACCAGCUGCUGAAUGGAUAAACUCAUGUGCCCUAGUUUGUGCAUCUCUCUCUCUCUCUCUCUCUCUCUCUCUCUCUCUCAUUUCUACGUCUGGGAUUGGUGUUCUUGGCGAAAGCACAUUUGUUGUAUCCUAUUAAAUAGCCAAAUCUGCACGAGUUGAAGAGUGAAUAUGAUUUUCUUCAUAGCAUGAGGGGUUGAAUUUGCGCGUCGUCUACAUUGGUGUUUGUUUGAGAUAUUACUGGGUAUCUUUAUGAGGGUUUGCAGACUCUUCUCACCGUAAUAAUGAAGGAAACCAAAAUCUAUCUCCAUCUGAGAUUGCAUUCCCAAUUGCAAUGGCGAUUUGUUGGAAGCCAUUGACAGAUAUUU